CCAAAAUGGUGUCAGCAGGAUUAUGGCCGUGGCUGAGGAGACUGGCUGUUCUAUGUUGGCUGCCGCCUGAGCUGACUGAUGGCAGCAGCAGGAUGAGCCAUCCCUCAGCAGAUUUGCUUUCUGAAGUGAAAGCCUGUCUGGUUUAAAACCUCUGAUUCAUCAAGGGAAAAAAACAAACAGGUCAUGCUCAAGGGCUCAGAAACACUCAAAUGCAGUAGAAGUUGCAUGAGCCUCAUUGGAGGAAUCAGUGAAAAGUGCUACUGGAUUCUUUAAAACUGUCUUGUAGGUGAUGGCUGCUGCCAUUGAGUCUGCAAGCUUUGAGGAGGAACAGCUUCCUAAUAAGAGAGAAAGUAUGAUCUGGAAGCCCAGAAAAGAAUGUUUGCUGAAGAAUAUUCCAAAUGUCCUUGAUAGUGAGUCUGAAGAAAGUGAAUUCUCUGAUAUCUCUCACAAUGAGAAUGAUGUUAGUGGCUCUCCCGUUGACUGUGUCCGUGUACAUUCUGACUUGGAAGACUUAGAUGAUGACGUCUCCGGUAUGCCUGAGGCUGUAACUUUUCCAGAGCUGCAGACUGCUUCUGAGUACGAGGCAGAGGAGGACUGGGAUAAAGAACUGGAAGACUCUGAAUGUAAUCCUUAUGGUGAGUACAAAUUUAUUUGUGCUUCAUUUGAGUUUUGGUUAGUAUGUGAUUGGAGGUAGAUGAUUUGUAGGAGAAUAUGUUUGAAUAACUCCAUGUUCCAUUUUGGGAAGCAAUUUUUUUGUUGUUGUUAAUGGAUUUGUAAUGCAUAAUUUUGUUGUCAAAUACAGGAUUUAAAGGCAGUCUUAUGAAGUUGACAUGAAACUCUUGCUUAAGCAAUUGAAUUCUUAGGGAGUGGAACUAUAGGGAGAAGAAUUGUAUGCAUGUAUUGAGUUUCUCUGGAGAAGGUAGGUCUCAGUAGUAUAUCUUUGUUAUUCUGAAACAGAAGAGAAAGGUACAUGGAGUGCAGGAAUGUAACUUUUCAGUGUAAAAGGAGUUCUUCCUUUGCUCCAAGAAAUUUUAUCCACACUGUAGACUGUAAUGUCCCUCUAGAGCAUGGAGUUCUUUGGAGGGGAGCAGUACAAGCAAUUAGUCUCUGAGUAUGGUUUGUUGUUGCUUUUGCUCUAGGGUUUUUUGUUUGUGUUUUUUUGGUGGUAGGAUUCUUUUGAGUCUGUUUGGUUGGGUUUUUUUAAGCUUGAUCCUUUUAAAUGCAGGCGUUUUUACAGGUGUUACUCUCGUGUUGAACUGAGAGUCUCAAUCUUCCAUUUGCCAGGUUGGAUGUUAGGAUAGAAGUGGACGGAGUUUAUCCAGCAGUGGUGACCUGCUGUGUCUUUGUUGAUGCAGAAUAGUACUGUUCAUGUUUUCUUCUAAUUAAUGCGUAUCUUUUGUAAUUAAUACAAACACAUCUUUCUUUGCUCAGGAAAUAUCAAUUCUCUGUUCAUUUUCAUUCCAUAAAUGGCUGUUGUAUUAAAGUUCCGUUGAAGGAAGUUGGAAUGAUUUUGCAGCCUUCCUAUAAAAUCAUUCUGAUUUUAAAAUGAAAAUACAGAAGUGCUUUUUCACGUUAGGUAAUCUGGGAAAAAGACUGUUUCAUUUUUGGAUGUUUUCCUCUCUUCCAUCGUGGGUUUGCCUUUUAAUCUCUCAUAUGCUCAAAUUUAUGGAAUGUUUUGUCAUUAUUUUUAUUUUGUUCUACUGGAACUGUCACAAGUUCUCUUCCUCUAUUUAACUAACUCAUCCCUAUCUGUAGCUUACGCUCUUCAAAUCCUGACAAACUAAGGAAGCUGUGAUUAUGGGAUUCAGGUGCUUGUGAAGGAUACUGAGUACAAGUGCCUGAGUUGUUAACUGCUACAAAUAAAAAACAUGCUUGCUUGAUCA
Calidris pygmaea (Spoon-billed sandpiper) is the source of this 1883-nucleotide long non-coding RNA. NCBI's taxonomy places the organism in Eukaryota, Metazoa, Chordata, Aves, Charadriiformes, Scolopacidae. The record is from Ensembl.